UGGGGAAUAUUGCACAAUGGAGGAAACUCUGAUGCAGCGACGCCGCGUGAGUGAAGAAGUAAUUCGUUAUGUAAAGCUCUAUCAGCAGGGAAGAUAGUGACGGUACCUGACUAAGAAGCUCCGGCUAAAUACGUGCCAGCAGCCGCGGUAAUACGUAUGGAGCAAGCGUUAUCCGGAUUUACUGGGUGUAAAGGGAGUGUAGGUGGCCAUGCAAGUCAGAAGUGAAAAUCCGGGGCUCAACCCCGGAACUGCUUUUGAAACUGUAAGGCUAGAGUGCAGGAGGGGUGAGUGGAAUUCCUAGUGUAGCGGUGAAAUGCGUAGAUAUUAGGAAGAACACCAGUGGCGAAGGCGGCUUGCUGGACAGUAACUGACGUUCAGGCUCGAAAGCGUGGGGAGCAAACAGGAUUAGAUACCCUGGUAGUCCACGCCGUAAACGAUGAUUACUAGGUGUGGGGGGAUUGACCCCUUCCGUGCCGCAGUUAACACAAUAAGUAAUCCACCUGGGGAGUACGACCGCAAGGUUGAAACUCAAAGGAAUUGACGGGGGCCCGCACAAGCAGUGGAGUAUGUGGUUUAAUUCGAAGCAACGCGAAGAACCUUACCAGGUCUUGACAUCGAGUGACGUAUCCAGAGAUGGAUAUUUCCUUCGGGACACAAAGACAGGUGGUGCAUGGUUGUCGUCAGCUCGUGUCGUGAGAUGUUGGGUUAAGUCCCGCAACGAGCGCAACCCUUGUCCUUAGUAGCCAGCAGUAAGAUGGGCACUCUAGGGAGACUGCCGGGGAUAACUCGGAGGAAGGUGGGGACGACGUCAAAUCAUCAUGCCCCUUAUGACUUGGGCUACACACGUGCUACAAUGGCGUAAACAAAGGGAAGCGAACCUGUGAAGGCAAGCAAAUCCCAAAAAUAACGUCUCAGUUCGGAUUGUAGUCUGCAACUCGACUACAUGAAGCUGGAAUCGCUAGUAAUCGCAGAUCAGAAUGCUGCGGUGAAUACGUUCCC
RNAcentral lists this ribosomal RNA (999 nucleotides) under uncultured bacterium. RNAcentral's name for it is "bacterial SSU rRNA". It matches the Rfam family "Bacterial small subunit ribosomal RNA", at positions 355 to 1375 of the family's 1533-position model. The record is from RNAcentral.